AAAUCCUUUAAUAAUAGUCCCGUGAGACUAUGAAGGAGCUUGCUAAUCCUAAAUAAUAUUAGUUAACCCUCAUAGUCUCAACUAUGAGGGUUUUUAAUU
The sequence is a regulatory RNA element, 99 nucleotides long. It matches the Rfam family "PyrR binding site". From Rfam's summary of the family: This family represents the PyrR binding site and terminator structure. This RNA structure is found upstream of a variety of genes involved in pyrimidine biosynthesis and transport. The record is from Rfam.